UAGGGAAUCUUCGGCAAUGGACGAAAGUCUGACCGAGCAACGCCGCGUGAGUGAAGAAGGUUUUCGGAUCGUAAAACUCUGUUGUUAGAGAAGAACAAGGACGUUAGUAACUGAACGUCCCCUGACGGUAUCUAACCAGAAAGCCACGGCUAACUACGUGCCAGCAGCCGCGGUAAUACGUAGGUGGCAAGCGUUGUCCGGAUUUAUUGGGCGUAAAGCGAGCGCAGGCGGUUUCUUAAGUCUGAUGUGAAAGCCCCCGGCUCAACCGGGGAGGGUCAUUGGAAACUGGGAGACUUGGGUGCAGAAGAGGAGAGUGGAAUUCCAUGGGUAGCGGUGAAAUGCGUAGAUAUAUGGGGGAACACCAGUGGCGAAGGCGGCUCUCUGGUCUGUAACUGGCGCUGAGGCUCGAAAGCGUGGGGAGCAAACAGG
RNAcentral lists this ribosomal RNA (429 nucleotides) under Gemmatimonadota bacterium. RNAcentral describes it as "Gemmatimonadetes bacterium partial 16S ribosomal RNA". It matches the Rfam family "Bacterial small subunit ribosomal RNA", at positions 355 to 776 of the family's 1533-position model. The record is from RNAcentral. Lineage: Bacteria; Pseudomonadati; Gemmatimonadota.